GACGAACGCUGGCGGCGUGCUUAACACAUGCAAGUCGAACGGAAAGGCCCUGCUUUUGUGGGGUGCUCGAGUGGCGAACGGGUGAGUAACACGUGAGUAACCUGCCCUUGACUUUGGGAUAACUUCAGGAAACUGGGGCUAAUACCGGCUCGGAGCUCCUGCUGACUGGUGGGGGUUGGAAAGUUUCGGCGGUUGGGGAUGGACUCGCGGCUUAUCAGCUUGUUGGUGGGGUAGUGGCUUACCAAGGCUUUGACGGGUAGCCGGCCUGGGAGGGUGACCGGCCACAUGGGGACUGAGAUACGGCCCAGACUCCAACGGGACGCAGCAGGGGGGAAUAUUGCACAAUGGGCGGAAGCCUGUGGCAGCAACCCCGCGUGCGGGAUGACGGCCUUCGGGUUGGAAACCGCGUUCGCCUGUGACGAAGCGUGAGUGACGGUAAUGGGUAAAGAAGCACCGGCUAACUACGUG
This 468-nucleotide ribosomal RNA is filed under the name uncultured bacterium. RNAcentral's name for it is "partial 16S ribosomal RNA". It matches the Rfam family "Bacterial small subunit ribosomal RNA", at positions 28 to 507 of the family's 1533-position model. The record is from RNAcentral.